Long non-coding RNA from Lutra lutra (Eurasian river otter), 430 nucleotides. RefSeq lists it as uncharacterized. NCBI's taxonomy places the organism in Eukaryota, Metazoa, Chordata, Mammalia, Carnivora, Mustelidae. The record is from RefSeq and is a predicted model, not a curated record. The transcript is spliced from 3 exons.
AUCUCUGGAUUACCUUCCUUCUGUCAGACUGCGAAAAGAACUUAGAUUAUCAGUGAACGUGCACAGCACCCAGAACGCGUGAAACGUGUACUGUAGAAAGAACUGCCAACACGUACGUGACACUAACUGUAUGGACCAGGCACUGUGAUGAAGAAACAGAGGCAGAAGGAGGCAUAAAACUUGUCCGGAGGGACAGAAGCAAUGGAUAGCAGCGCUGCGGUCAAGACUACGCCAUCGGCUUCCGUGGCCACGCACGCCCUCACAGUGCGCACGCGCCCCUCUGCUGCGUCCCUCCUCCAAAGGAAUUCGCAGGAAAGGAGACAUUCCAGCCACCAGGUCAGCGUUCUGGGCUCAGGGCCCACCCCCUACCGGAUGCGCUUCCGCUUCCGGGCUCUCCAAGCAGGCAACCGGAAGACAGGCAAGUGGAAGA